AGGGAGCUUGCUCCGCUGACGAGUGGCGAACGGGUUGAGUAAUACAUCGGAAAUGUACCCAGUCAUGGGGGAUAACGCUUCGAAAGGAGUGCUAAUACCGCAUACGCCCUGAGGGGGAAAGUGGGGGACGCGCAAGAGCCUCACGUGAUUGGAGCAGCCGAUGGCUGAUUAGCUAGUUGGUAGGGUAAAGGCCUACCAAGGCAACGAUCAGUAGCGGGUCUUAGAGGACGAUCCGCCACACUGGAACUGAGACACGGUCCAGACUCCUACGGGAGGCAGCAGUGGGGAAUCUUGGACAAUGGGCGAAAGCCUGAUCCAGCAAUGCCGCGUGCGUGAAGAAGGCCUUCGGGUUGUAAAGCGCUUUUGUCGGGGAGGAAAUCCUAACGGUUAAUACCUGUUGGGGAUGACAGUACCCGAAGAAUAAGCACCGGCUAACUACAUGCCAGCAGCCGCGGUAAUACGUAGGGUGCAAGCGUUAAUCGGAAUUACUGGGCGUAAAGCGUCCGCAGGUGGCUUGAUA
Molecule: ribosomal RNA, 520 nt
Filed under: Deefgea sp. 51AAV
Lineage: Bacteria; Pseudomonadati; Pseudomonadota; Betaproteobacteria; Neisseriales; Chitinibacteraceae
Description: bacterial SSU rRNA
Rfam family: Bacterial small subunit ribosomal RNA
Source: RNAcentral